UACGUAGGGGGCAAGCGUUGUCCGGAAUCAUUGGGCGUAAAGAGCGCGUAGGCGGUCCGGUAAGUCCGCUGUGAAAGUCGGGGGCUCAACCCUCGAAUGCCGGUGGAUACUGUCGGGCUAGAGUCCGGAAGAGGCGAGUGGAAUUCCUGGUGUAGCGGUGAAAUGCGCAGAUAUCAGGAGGAACACCAAUGGCGAAGGCAGCUCGCUGGGACGGUACUGACGCUGAGGCGCGAAAGCGUGGGGAGCAAACAGG
RNAcentral lists this ribosomal RNA (253 nucleotides) under uncultured bacterium. Its description in RNAcentral is "partial 16S ribosomal RNA". It matches the Rfam family "Bacterial small subunit ribosomal RNA", at positions 524 to 776 of the family's 1533-position model. The record is from RNAcentral.